Molecule: ribosomal RNA, 253 nt
Filed under: uncultured bacterium
Lineage: Bacteria
Description: partial 16S ribosomal RNA
Rfam family: Bacterial small subunit ribosomal RNA
Source: RNAcentral
UACAGAGGGGGCAAGCGUUGUUCGGAAUUACUGGGCGUAAAGCGCGUGUAGGCGGCUUUGCAAGUCGGAUGUGAAAGCCCACGGCUCAACCGUGGAAGUGCAUCCGAAACUGCAUGGCUCGAGUCUCGGAGAGGAAGGUGGAAUGCUUGGUGUAGAGGUGAAAUUCGUAGAUAUCAAGCAGAACACCUGCGGCGAAGGCGGCCUUCUGGACGAUGACUGACGCUGAGACGCGAAAGCGUGGGGAGCAAACAGG